AGCAGCCGCGGUAAUUCCAGCUCCAAUAGCGUAUAUUAAAGUUGUUGCAGUUAAAAAGCUCGUAGUUGAAUUUCGGGAUUGGCGCAUCGGUCGUGCCUUACGGGGUAUGAACUGGUGCAGUCAAUUUCUCACCUUCUGGAGAACCGCGAUGUCCUUAAUUGGGUGCCGCGGGGAACCAGGACCUUUACUUUGAAAAAAAUUAGAGUGUUUAAAGCAGGCAUUUUUGCUUGAAUACAUUAGCAUGGAAUAAUAAAAUAGGACGGCAUGGUUCUAUUUUGUUGGUUUCUAGGACCACCGUAAUGAUUAAUAGGGAUAGUUGGGGGCAUUAGUAUUCAAUUGUCAGAGGUGAAAUUCUUGGAUUUAUUGAAGACUAACUACUGCGAAAGCAUUUGCCAAGGAUGUUUUCAUUAAUCAAGAACGAAAGUUAGGGGAUCGAAGACGAUCAGAUACCGUCGUAGUCUUAACCAUAAACUAUGCCGACUAGGAAUCAGACGAUGUUAAUUUUUUUCAAUGACUCGUU
RNAcentral lists this ribosomal RNA (520 nucleotides) under uncultured Entrophospora. RNAcentral describes it as "SSU rRNA". It matches the Rfam family "Eukaryotic small subunit ribosomal RNA", at positions 569 to 1080 of the family's 1831-position model. Lineage: Eukaryota; Fungi; Glomeromycota; Glomeromycetes; Entrophosporales; Entrophosporaceae. The record is from RNAcentral.